UACGUAGGGGGCGAGCGUUGUCCGGAUUCAUUGGGCGUAAAGCGCGCGUAGGCGGCUCGACAAGUCGGCCGUGAAAUCUCCAGGCUCAACUUGGAGGGGUCGGGCGAGACUGUCGGGCUCGAGGUGGGCAGAGGGCAGUGGAAUUCCGGGUGUAGUGGUGGAAUGCGUAGAGAUCCGGAGGAACACCAGUGGCGAAGGCGGCUGCCUGGGCCUGGCCUGACGCUGAGGCGCGAAAGCUAGGGUAGCAAACGGG
This 253-nucleotide ribosomal RNA is filed under the name uncultured bacterium. RNAcentral describes it as "partial 16S ribosomal RNA". It matches the Rfam family "Bacterial small subunit ribosomal RNA", at positions 524 to 776 of the family's 1533-position model. The record is from RNAcentral.